RNAcentral lists this long non-coding RNA (1359 nucleotides) under Neogobius melanostomus (round goby). Its description in RNAcentral is "lncRNA (ENSNMLG00000017808.1)". Lineage: Eukaryota; Metazoa; Chordata; Actinopteri; Gobiiformes; Gobiidae. The record is from RNAcentral.
AUGUGCAGCCAAGAGGAAAGAGCUGGAGAACCAACACCUGCUGGUCCAACAGAGGGUGAGUCACAGAGACCAGGAAGUCACUUUCAUUCACAAAUACUGACAUGUUUGGUAUCCACGUGUAGCAGGGAAGGCUGUGACCGAGAUGAUGCGCAGCUAAAGACGGGAGAAAUAAACACAGCCCUAUGUGCAGACAAAGGGACUAAACUUUACCAACAUCUGCACUUUAGUCGCUCCAUAAGACUCCACACUUUACAGACUCCGCACUUUACAGACUCCGCACUUUACAGACUCCACACUUUACAGACUCCGCACUUUACAGACUCCACACUUUACAGACUCCGCACUUUACAGACUCCGCACUUUACAGACUCCGCACUUUACAGACUCCACUCUUUACAGACUCCACACUUUACAGACUCCACACUUUACAGACUCACACUUUACAGACUCCACACUUUACAGACUCCGCACUUACAGACUCCACACUUUACAGACUCCGCACUUACAGACUCCACACUUUACAGACUCCGCACUUUACAGACUCCGCACUUUACAGACUCCACACUUUACAGACUCCACACUUUACAGACUCACACUUUACAGACUCCACACUUUACAGACUCCACACUUUACAGACUCCACACUUUACAGACUCCGCACUUUACAGACUCCACACUUUACAGACUCCGCACUUUACAGACUCCACACUUUACAGACUCCGCACUUUACAGACUCCGCACUUUACAGACUCCGCACUUUACAGACUCACACUUACAGACUCCCACUUUACAGACUCCCACUUUACAGACUCCACACUUUACAGACUCCACACUUUACAGACUCCACACUUUACAGACUCCGCACAUCUUUACAGACCCCACUUUACAGACUCCACACUUUACAGACUCCACACUUUACAGACUCCGCACUUUACAGACUCCGCACUUUACAGACUCCACACUUUACAGACUCCACACUUUACAGACUCCGCACUUUACAGACUCCACACUUUACAGACUCCACACUUUACAGACUCCGCACUUUACAGACUCCACACUUUACAGACUCCACACUUUACAGACCCUUACGACCCACACUUUACAGACUCCACACUUUACAGACUCCACACUUUACACCCCACUUUACAGACUCCCACUUUACAGACUCCACACUUUACAGACUCCGCACUUUACAGACUCCACACAACCCGCACUUUACAGACUCCGCACUUACAGACUCCACACUUUACAGACUCCACACUUUACAGACUCCCACCAGACUCCACACUUUACGACUCCACACUUUACAGGCGAGACUACAUUCAACUUGGAAGAUUUUUACACACAAGGAUUUUUCUAG